This 1267-nucleotide ribosomal RNA is filed under the name Euthalenessa festiva. RNAcentral describes it as "16S ribosomal RNA". It matches the Rfam family "Bacterial large subunit ribosomal RNA", at positions 547 to 2816 of the family's 2925-position model. The record is from RNAcentral. Lineage: Eukaryota; Metazoa; Annelida; Polychaeta; Phyllodocida; Sigalionidae.
UUACCAAAACACUUUCCUUACAGCUAAUUAAACAUCAGCCAACAAUACCUGCGAACAACCCCCACCUCCUUUUACCGCAAGGGAUAAAUUUAUUUACCUAAAGUCAAGACCUCACUUGUACCUUUUGCAUCAUGGCCUAGCAAAACACCUGUUAUAUCACCAACCCGAAUCAUUCGCGAGCUAAAUCUAUUUUGGCUAAAGGCCCAAAGAUUGGUGUUGCACCACCAUCCCUAAAAAUAAUUUUAGAGGCUACAUACCCCCCGCGCAAUGAUAGCUGGUUCUUCUCUAUUUUAUCUAAGUAACCCAUUCAAGAUACCCUUUAUACCCCCAUUCUUGAACUUUACUCCUUGAAGGACAAGCUUCUAGGAAUUAUUAAUUUAAUUAUUAAACCAAACCUUAGAAAGGCCUAAAAUAAGCCUUCUCUAAACAACAGUUACAUUUCAUCCCUCAACCUAAUAAAAAUAAUAAACUAAAAUAACCUCACAGAGAAGAAAUCGAUUAAACCAUUAUAAAUCUCUCCUACACUGCUAGGAUAAGUAUCAGUACCUACACCCCCCAACCCAUAUAUCAUAAACCACCACAGUACGCCCCAUAUCUUUGUAAGGAACUCUGCAACCCCUUAGCCCGACUGUUUACCAAAGACAUUGCCUUCUGACCUUCCCAUAGAAGGUUAAUCCUGCCCAGUGAAAUUUUAACGGCCGCGGUACCCUGACCGUGCAAAGGUAGCAUAAUAAUUUGCCUCCUAAUUAGAGGCUAGAAUGAACGGAUAAACGAGGCUAUUACUGUCUCACAAAGACCCCUAUAAAUUAGCUUCCAGGUGAAGAGACCUGAAUUUCAUUAAAAGACAAGAAGACCCUAUUGAGUUUCAUUUGUAUAUAAUUUUCUUAUUUAUCAAAUUUUGUUGGGGCGACCAAAGAGAAAAAAAAUCCUCUUUAACUACAAAGAAAUCUAUUCUAUUUUAUUGAACCUAAACUGAUCAACGGAAUAAACUACCAUAGGGAUAACAGGCUUAUCUUCUUUGAGAGCUCAAAUUGACAAGAAGGUCUGGCACCUCGAUGUUGGCUUAGGGUACCCCCUAAAUGUAGCAGUUUAGUAAGGUUAGUUUGUUCAACUAUUAAAACCCUACAUGAGCUGAGUUCAGACCGGCGCAAGCCAGGUUAGUUUCUAUCUUUAAAUAACCCUUAUCAAGUAGUACGAAAGGACCCUCAGAUAAUGAACCAUUCAACCCUAAGAAUAAAUAUAAAAUCAAUUAACCUAAUACCUUCCU